RNAcentral lists this long non-coding RNA (328 nucleotides) under Carica papaya (papaya). RNAcentral describes it as "long non-coding RNA (CPAP_LNC005322)". Lineage: Eukaryota; Viridiplantae; Streptophyta; Magnoliopsida; Brassicales; Caricaceae. The record is from RNAcentral.
UUUAGGUUUCCAUUAUUUACAAACCUGUACGCGAAGCCAUUUAGACCAUUAUUAAUUAAGAGUAUAGGGGAUCCCAAACUACCACUAUGAAUAGGCCAAAUAGCUUAGUUCAGAAUAUAGUAAUUCAAAUAGGUUCUAUGAUCACGACAUUACAUUGCCAUUGUAACCCCUACAGUCAAUCGCAAUUCACUAUCAUAAGAGGAAAAGCCAGUACAGUACCCAUCACAGGGAGUGGUUCGCCAACAGUUAGUAAAUAGAUCAAUACCAGUAACUCCUCCAUGAUAAUAGUUAAACGAAUUUAGAAUUUUCUUUGUUAACUUAUGUUUAU